This 789-nucleotide ribosomal RNA is filed under the name uncultured archaeon. RNAcentral's name for it is "bacterial SSU rRNA". It matches the Rfam family "Archaeal small subunit ribosomal RNA", at positions 1 to 785 of the family's 1478-position model. The record is from RNAcentral.
UUCGCCCUUCGGUUGAUCCUGCCGGAAGUUACUGCUAUCGGUAUUCGACUAAGCCAUGCGAGUUAAAUGUUCUUCGUGAACAUAGCGAACUGCUCAGUAACACGUGGAUAACCUGCCCUUAGGUUCGGCAUAACUCCGGGAAACUGGAGAUAAUUCCGAAUAAACCAUUCAUGCUGGAAUGCUUUUUGGUUCAAAGACUUCGGUUGCCUAAGGAUGGAUCUGCGGUCUAUCAGGUAGUAGUGGGUGUAAGGUACCUACUAGCCUACGACGGAUAUGGGUUGUGAGAGCAAGAGCCCAGAGAUGGAUUCUGAGACAUGAAUCCAGGCCCUACGGGGCGCAGCAGGCGCGAAAACUUUACAAUGCGGGAAACCGCGAUAAGGGGAUACCGAGUGCCAGCAUAUUAUGUUGGCUGUCCACAUGUGUAAACGGCAUGUGUUAGCAAGGGCCGGGCAAGACCGGUGCCAGCCGCCGCGGUAACACCGGCGGCCCGAGUGGUAAUCACUUUUAUUGGGUCUAAAGGGUCCGUAGCCGGUUUGAUCAGUUCUUCGGGAAAUCUGACAGCUCAACUGUUAGGCUUCCGGGGAAUACUGUCAGACUUGGGACCGGGAGAGGUAAGAGGUACUACAGGGGUAGGAGUGAAAUCUUGUAAUCCCUGUGGGACCACCAGUGGCGAAGGCGUCUUACCAGAACGGGUCCGACGGUGAGGGACGAAAGCUGGGGGCACGAACCGGAUUAGAUACCCGGGUAGUCCCAGCCGUAAACGAUGUUCGCUAGGUGUCAGGGACGGUG